This 276-nucleotide ribosomal RNA is filed under the name Acanthamoeba sp. RNAcentral's name for it is "partial small subunit ribosomal RNA". It matches the Rfam family "Eukaryotic small subunit ribosomal RNA", at positions 785 to 1048 of the family's 1831-position model. The record is from RNAcentral. Lineage: Eukaryota; Discosea; Longamoebia; Acanthamoebidae.
UUUUCUGCCACCGAAUACAUUAGCAUGGGAUAAUGGAAUAGGACCCUGUCCUCCUAUUUUCAGUUGGUUUUGGCAGCGCGAGGACUAGGGUAAUGAUUAAUAGGGAUAGUUGGGGGCAUUAAUAUUUAAUUGUCAGAGGUGAAAUUCUUGUAUUUAUGAAAGACUAUGUUCUGCGAUAGCAUCUGACUCGGAUGUUUUCAUUACUCAAAAUUUAACCUCUGGGGAUUGAAUAUUAUCGCACACAGUCAUCCUCUUUAAUCUUUACGCUACCUCCCC